This 451-nucleotide ribosomal RNA is filed under the name uncultured bacterium. Its description in RNAcentral is "partial 16S ribosomal RNA". It matches the Rfam family "Bacterial small subunit ribosomal RNA", at positions 354 to 796 of the family's 1533-position model. The record is from RNAcentral.
GUGGGGAAUUUUGCGCAAUGGGGGAAACCCUGACGCAGCAACGCCGCGUGAGUGAUGAAGGCCUUCGGGUCGUAAAGCUCUGUCAGAGGGGAAGAAAUGCAGGGGUGCUAAUAUCAUCUUUGCUUGACGGUACCCUCAAAGGAAGCACCGGCUAACUCCGUGCCAGCAGCCGCGGUAAUACGGAGGGUGCGAGCGUUGUUCGGCAUUAUUGGGCGUAAAGCGCGUGUAGGCGGUUUGGUAAGUCUGAUGUGAAAGCCCCGGGCUCAACCUGGGAAGUGCAUUGGAAACUGUCAGACUUGAAUACGGGAGAGGGUAGUGGAAUUCCUAGUGUAGGAGUGAGAUCCGUAGAUAUUAGAAGGAACACCGGUGGCGAAGGCGGCUACCUGGACCGAUAUUGACGCUGAGACGCGAAAGCGUGGGGAGCAAACAGGAUUAGAAACCCCAGUAGUCC